GACGAACGCUGGCGGCGUGCUUAACACAUGCAAGUCGAACGGAAAGGCCCUGCUUUUGUGGGGUGCUCGAGUGGCGAACGGGUGAGUAACACGUGAGUAACCUGCCCUUGACUUUGGGAUAACUUCAGGAAACUGGGGCUAAUACCGGAUAGUAGCUCCUGCUGCAUGGUGGGGGUUGGAAAGUUUCGGCGGUUGGGGCUGGAAUCGCGGCUUAUCAGCUUGUUGGGGGGGUAGUGGCUUACCAAGGCUUUGACGGGUAGCCGGCCUGAGAGGGUGACCGGCGACCUUGGGACUGAGAGACGGCCCAGACUCCUACGGGAGGCAGCAGUGGGGAAUAUUGCACAAUGGGCGGAAGCGUGAUGCAGCAACGCCGCGUGCGGGAUGACGGCCUUCGGGUUGUAAACCGCUUUCGCCUGUGACGAAGCGUGAGUGACGGUAAUGGGUAAAGAAGCACCGGCUAACUACGUG
This 468-nucleotide ribosomal RNA is filed under the name uncultured bacterium. RNAcentral describes it as "partial 16S ribosomal RNA". It matches the Rfam family "Bacterial small subunit ribosomal RNA", at positions 28 to 507 of the family's 1533-position model. The record is from RNAcentral.